GACGAACGCUGGCGGCGUGCUUAACACAUGCAAGUCGAACGGAAAGGCCCUGCUUUUGUGGGGUGCUCGAGUGGCGAACGAGUGAGUAACACGUGAGUAACCUGCCCUUGACUUUGGGAUAACUUCAGGAAACUGGGGCUAAUACCGGAUAGGAGCUCCUGCUGCAUGGUGGGGGUUGGAAAGUUUCGGCGGUUGGGGAUGGACUCGCGGCUUAUCAGCUUGUUGGUGGGGUAGUGGCUUACCAAGGCUUUGACGGGUAGCCGGCCUGAGAGGGUGACCGGCCACAUUGGGACUGAGAUACGGCCUAGACUCCUACGGGAGGCAGCAGUGGGGAAUAUUGCACAAUGGGCGGAAGCCUGAUGCAGCAACGCCGCGUGCGGGAUGACGGCCUUCGGGUUGUAAACCGCUUUCGCCUGUGACGAAGCGUGAGUGACGGUAAUGGGUAAAGAAGCACCGGCUAACUACGUG
RNAcentral lists this ribosomal RNA (468 nucleotides) under uncultured bacterium. RNAcentral's name for it is "partial 16S ribosomal RNA". It matches the Rfam family "Bacterial small subunit ribosomal RNA", at positions 28 to 507 of the family's 1533-position model. The record is from RNAcentral.